This 479-nucleotide ribosomal RNA is filed under the name uncultured bacterium. RNAcentral's name for it is "SSU rRNA". It matches the Rfam family "Bacterial small subunit ribosomal RNA", at positions 26 to 518 of the family's 1533-position model. The record is from RNAcentral.
AGGACGAACGCUGGCGGCGUGCUUAACACAUGCAAGUCACGGGGGCCCGCAAGGGCAACCGGCGAACGGGUGCGUAACACGUGAGCAACCUGCCUAGAUGUGGGGGAUAGCCGGCCCAACGGCCGGGUAAUACCGCAUACGGUCACGAGGAGGAGUCUCCUUGUGAAGAAACCUCCGGGGCAUUUAGAGGGGCUCGCGGCCUAUCAGCUAGUUGGCGGGGUAAUGGCCCACCAAGGCUUCGACGGGUAGCUGGUCUGAGAGGAUGGCCAGCCACAUUGGGACUGAGAGACGGCCCAGACUCCUACGGGAGGCAGCAGUGGGGAAUCUUGCGCAAUGGCCGAAAGGCUGACGCAGCGACGCCGCGUGUGGGAGGACGCCCUUCGGGGUGUAAACCACUGUUGCCCGGGACGAACAUCUUCUUUCGAGAAGACUGACGGUACCGGUGAGGAAGCACCGGCUAACUCCGUGCCAGCAGCCGC